Molecule: long non-coding RNA, 343 nt
Organism: Propithecus coquereli (Coquerel's sifaka)
Lineage: Eukaryota; Metazoa; Chordata; Mammalia; Primates; Indriidae
Exons: 3
Source: RefSeq, a predicted model, not a curated record
GGUCGCGGCCGGAGUGGGCGGCUGCCCGGGCGCAGGUCCGCAAGCAGCGUGGGGCUCCCAGGGAGGCUUCGCUCUUUCGUGACUGCGAGGAAGCAGCUGUGCAGAUCUUUGUUCUUUUGAGACAAAGACCCUGAACUUGGGUCCUCGCUUUGUUCGGGUACCAGGGCUCGUUUAUGGAAGGCGUGUGCUGAGGGAGAGGGUUUAACACGUGAGGCGGCUGUUUCAAAGGGCUGUGAUUCGAAUCACACAGCACCCAAGGUUUCAGGCCUUGGUCGGAAACUAGCUGUGAAUGAUCAUGUGCUGAAAUUUCACGAAGAUCUAAUGCCACAGCUAUCUUGCUACA